UGCCUCCCAUGGAGUGGUGCAAUCUGAGACAAACCAGAUCCAGCCCCUGACUUCAGGCAUACACAUUAUUCCCACUAAUGAGCUAGAAUAUUCUGGUCAUGGCUGCCACCUGGGGAGAAAGAAAAGGAC
RNAcentral lists this long non-coding RNA (129 nucleotides) under Chinchilla lanigera (long-tailed chinchilla). RNAcentral describes it as "lncRNA (ENSCLAG00000024282.1)". Lineage: Eukaryota; Metazoa; Chordata; Mammalia; Rodentia; Chinchillidae. The record is from RNAcentral.